RNAcentral lists this unclassified non-coding RNA (270 nucleotides) under Thanatephorus cucumeris. RNAcentral's name for it is "partial ITS2". Lineage: Eukaryota; Fungi; Basidiomycota; Agaricomycetes; Cantharellales; Ceratobasidiaceae. The record is from RNAcentral.
GAAUUCUUCAAAGUAAAUCUUUUGUUAACUCAAUUGGUUUCACUUUGGUAUUGGAGGUCUUUUGCAGCUUCACACCUGCUCCUCUUUGUGCAUUAGCUGGAUCUCAGUGUUAUGCUUGGUUCCACUCGGCGUGAUAAAUUAUCUAUCGCUGAGGACACUGUAAAAGGUGGCCAAGGUAAAUGCAGAUGAACCGCUUCCAAUAGUCCAUUGACUUGGACAACACCUUUAUGAUCUGAUCUCAAAUCAGGUAGGACUACCCGCUGAACUUAA